This 449-nucleotide ribosomal RNA is filed under the name uncultured bacterium. RNAcentral's name for it is "partial 16S ribosomal RNA". It matches the Rfam family "Bacterial small subunit ribosomal RNA", at positions 329 to 794 of the family's 1533-position model. The record is from RNAcentral.
AUCCAGACUCCUACGGGAGGCAGCAGUGGGGGAUAUUGCACAAUGGGGGGAACCCUGAUGCAGCGACGCCGCGUGGGUGAAGGAGUAUUUCGGUAUGUAAAGCCCUAUCGGCAGGGAAGAAGAAAGACGGUACCUGACUAAGAAGCCCCGGCUAACUACGUGCCAGCAGCCGCGGUAAUACGUAGGAGGCAAGCGUUAUCCGGAAUGACUGGGCGUAAAGGGUGCGUAGGUGGUUUGGCAAGUUGGUAGCGUAAUCCCGGGGCUCAACCUCGGUGCUACUACCAAAACUGCUGGGCUUGAGUGCAGGAGGAGUGAAUGGAAUUCCUAGUGUAGCGGUGGAAUGCGUAGAUAUUAGGAAGAACACCAGCGGCGAAGGCGAUUCACUGGACUGUAACUGACACUGAGGCACGAAAGCGUGGGGAGCAAACAGGAUUAGAUACCCGAGUAAC